UUCCGGUUGAUCCUGCCGGAGGCCUUGCUAUCGGGGUCCGAUUUAGCCAUGCUAGUCGCACGGGUUCAGACCCGUGGCGAAAAGCUCAGUGACACGUGGCCAAACUACCCUGUGGAUCGGGACAACCUCGGGAAACUGAGGCUAAUCCCGAAUAGGGCUCGCAGCCUGGAGUGGCGUGAGUCCGAAACGCUCCAGCGCCACAGGAUGUGGCUGCGGCCGAUUAGGUUGACGGUGGGGUAACGGCCCACCGUGCCCAUAAUCGGUACGGGUUGUGAGAGCAAGAGCGCUGAGACGGCAUCUGACACAAGAUACCCGAUCAUACUGGGCGCAGCAGGCGCUAAGCCUAUACACUCCACGCAAGUCCGAUAUGUGGACUCCGAGUUCGUCCGCAUACCGUCCUCGCUUUAUUCGACCGUAAGCUGGUCGAGGAAGAAGCGCUGGUCAAGACCGGUGCCAGCCGUCCAGGUAAUACCGGCAGCGCAAGUGAUGNCCGUAUUAUU
RNAcentral lists this ribosomal RNA (500 nucleotides) under uncultured Halorhabdus sp. Its description in RNAcentral is "bacterial SSU rRNA". It matches the Rfam family "Archaeal small subunit ribosomal RNA", at positions 1 to 505 of the family's 1478-position model. Lineage: Archaea; Methanobacteriati; Methanobacteriota; Halobacteria; Halobacteriales; Haloarculaceae. The record is from RNAcentral.